This 73-nucleotide transfer RNA is filed under the name Bigelowiella natans CCMP2755. RNAcentral's name for it is "tRNA-Lys for anticodon CUU". It matches the Rfam family "tRNA". From Rfam's summary of the family: Transfer RNA (tRNA) molecules are approximately 80 nucleotides in length. Their secondary structure includes four short double-helical elements and three loops (D, anti-codon, and T loops). The record is from RNAcentral. Lineage: Eukaryota; Cercozoa; Chlorarachniophyceae.
GCCGCCAUGAUGUAACGGUUAAGCAUGAGGGGCUUUUAACCUCUUCGUCUGGGUUCGAUUCCCAGUGGUGGUG